AUUGAACGCUGGCGGAAUGCUUUACACAUGCAAGUCGGGCGGCAGCGCGGGGGCAACCCUGGCGGCGAGCGGCGAACGGGUGAGUAACACAUCGGAACGUACCCUGUCGUGGGGGAUAACGAAUCGAAAGAUUCGCUAAUACCGCAUACGACCUGAGGGUGAAAGCGGGGGAUCGCAAGACCUCGCGCGAGAGGAGCGGCCGAUGGCGGAUUAGCUAGUUGGUGGGGUAAAGGCCCACCAAGGCGACGAUCCGUAGCGGGUCUGAGAGGACGGCCCGCCACACUGGGACUGAGACACGGCCCAGACUCCUACGGGAGGCAGCAGUGGGGAAUUUUGGACAAUGGGGGCAACCCUGAUCCAGCCAUUCCGCGUGAGUGAAGAAGGCCUUCGGGUUGUAAAGCUCUUUCGGCAGGAACGAAACGGCGGGCUCUAACAUAGCCUGUCAAUGACGGUACCUGAAGAAGAAGCACCGGCUAACUACGUG
This 484-nucleotide ribosomal RNA is filed under the name uncultured bacterium. RNAcentral describes it as "bacterial SSU rRNA". It matches the Rfam family "Bacterial small subunit ribosomal RNA", at positions 29 to 507 of the family's 1533-position model. The record is from RNAcentral.